This 2247-nucleotide unclassified non-coding RNA is filed under the name Drosophila yakuba. RNAcentral describes it as "GE25683". The record is from RNAcentral. Lineage: Eukaryota; Metazoa; Arthropoda; Insecta; Diptera; Drosophilidae.
CUUCAGUCGACUUUGAGAUUCCUGGCCAGAAACGACGGAGAACGACGGUUUCCAGGACGGCCGCGUCGGGUGCUCUAGAAAAGGAGAGUUGGAAAAACGCCAGCGGCAGCUAGCGCCAGAAACGCUGCUGUCACAGUUUCCACCUAAGUCGAAGGAAAACAAGUGAAAAGGCUCGUUCAAGUGGCAGUUGCUUUUUUUGGGCCAAGCCAGCGGUUCGUUUCGCUCGACCGGAUCACUAUGAGCGACAAAGGAGCUCGGUAAUGGUGAUAGCAUGACGCGCGACGGAGAAAUUCCAGCCAUUUUCAAUCCGAAAAGAGUGCGCACUCCUUCCGUGGUGGUCACCGGCGACUCCUCGACGAAUGGACCGUACAGCAAUAACAGCACCGGCGGAGCGGGAGCCAGCAGCAGCACGGCAGUGGCCCCUGGAUCGUCUGCCCAGAACGGCAGCGGCAGUGGCAGCGGAGCAGCGGGCAGCUGUGGGUUCAGCAACGUGCUCACCUCGAGCAACCCGCAAAUAACCCACCAAGACUCGAUUUCGUCGAGCCAACAGGACCCCAAUGAGGUGAUCAUCAUCCCGGCGGACACGCCCACGAGCGCACCUGGCAGCCACAAUGCAGCACACCACUUUGGAGGCGGCGACUCCAGCGACACUCAGACGGAGCAGCAGCAAGCCAACGGGCACGGCGAGGAGUCAGAGCUUCGCUUUCGGAAGCUGCAGGCCUGCAAGGAGUCAUGCUGCUCUGAGCUGGCCCGGAAGAUGUACUUCGGAGUGUGCGUGACCAUCCUGAUGACCGCCUCGUGGGUGGGGGCCACCCACUGCAUUAAGUACAUGUACAAGUACCGUGCUCCGUACGACGACUUGCUGAACGACGACCAGGACACUUCCUCGAGCCGCGCCGAUCUGAGCACGGAGCUGGAGGACAUACUGGCCAUCAGCGACUCGUCGCUGCACCACGUCGAGGACGCCACCGAGAUGUUCAACAUACCACCGCGCCAGCCGGUCUACUUCAGCGCCCCCUUCUUCGCCGCCUGGUUCUUCACCAACUUCUCGCUGCUCUUCUUUCCCAUCUACCUGCUGGGUCUGGUCUCCACCCGCAAGUGCGAGAAGCUGAGCGACAUCCUUGGCGAUGUGCUGCGAGGAUUCCGGGAGCGCGGCUUCACCGUGGGUCGCUUCCUCAAUCGCUGCCUCUGCUUCUGCAUUUUGUGGCUGGUCACCACCUACCUGUACACCCUCUCCCUGCACGUCCUCUACGCCACGGAUGCCCUGGCCCUGUUCGCCACCAACGUGGCAUGCGUGUACCUGCUAUCCUGGGUGAUCCUGCACGAGCAGUUCGUGGGCGUCAGGAUAGUGGCCAUUAUACUUUGCGACACAGGAAUAGCGUUGCUAGCCUACAUGGAUGGAAUCACGGAAAGCCGAACCCUGAGCGGCGUGGUCCUGGCCACAUUGGCCGGAGCUGGCUAUGCCGUGUUUAGGGUUAUGUUCCGCAAGGUGAUGGGCGAUCCGCCGGUGAGCCAAAUCGCCUUCAUAUUCACCGCCCUCGGCUUCCUCAACGCCCUGCUGCUGUGGCCCGUGGUGCUGGGACUCUACCUGACUGGCACGGAAAGCCUCACCUCGGAGAGCAUACCCUGGAACCUGCUGUUCGCGGCGAGCCUCCUGCUCCUCGUUUUCCACGUUCUGAUGCAGUUCAGUGCCGCCGUUACGUACAACAUGUUUGUGACAUUGGGUCUGAUUACGGCUGUGCCCGUUUCUGGCGCCCUCGAUGUCAUACUGUACAGUGCGAACUUUGCUGGCAUGAAACUGGCCGGAGUUAUCCUGAUUGGCAUCGGUUUUUUUCUCGUCAUGUUUCCCGCCAACUGGCCAGACUAUAUAACGCGAUUGUUGCGAAGCAUCAUAAUGUUGGGUCACAAUGCGAGCGGUAGGCCAGCGCUUUGUAAACGAGAUGCUAUAGUCACAGGACCGUCCACCAGAUAUGCGCAGCGGCACAUCACGCGCACGCACCAUAUAAGCUAAGAGUUUUGGACAAGUCACUGAAUUGUACAGAAAACCAAAUAAGAAAACAGAACAAGACAAGAUAUAUUUUGUAAAAAGAUUUUCAAAAAAAGAAACUUAAAACCAAAGAAAAACUCUAUCAAUCGAAUGCACCACUUGCCAGAUCGGGAUCGCAGCAUAUAUAUGCUACCCAUUACAAACAUAAACGAAAGUAUUACGCGGUCAAAACCGACUCAUAUGUUGUUUGAGCCAAUCGC